CAAGCGCUCAAGGGGACCUUCAAGAGGAACUCGAAGUGGACGCCUAGACAUUGUUUGAGUAUUACUCUCUUGUUGCUAUAGGGUUAGAGACCAAGGGUGCUCGUGAGUAGUACUAGAUUGUUCUCUUUUGAAGACUUUGAGUUACAUUAUAACGGAUGGCUAUAGUACUCUUUUCCGUUGGAUUGUAUUUAAGUUUGAAAGCUACAUAGUUGUAAGUGUAAGAUAUUUGAAGUACUUUAAUUAUGUAUUGAAGUUA
This is a non-coding RNA of Coffea arabica (coffee), 256 nucleotides long. The record is from RefSeq and is a predicted model, not a curated record. Lineage: Eukaryota; Viridiplantae; Streptophyta; Magnoliopsida; Gentianales; Rubiaceae.